AUGCGCUCACACUCACACACACACGCUCACAAACUCACACUCACGUGCUCACACACACUCACACACACACGCACACACACACGCACUCACACACACACACAUGCGCUCACACUCACACACACGUGCUCACAAACUCACACUCACGUGCUAACACACAUUCACACACACACACACACUCACACGUGCUCACACACUCACACUCACACGCGCUCACACAUUCACACACACACACAUUCACACACGCACUCACACACACAUGUGCUCACACACUCACACUCACACGUGCUCACACAUUCACACACACACACAUGCACUCACACUCACACACGCACUCACAAACUCACACUCACGUGCUCACACACAUUCACACACACACACACGCACUCACACUCACACACAUUCACACACUCACACACACGUGCGCUCACAUACGCUCACACACACAUGCACACUCACAUGCACUCACACACACAUGCACUCACACACACAUGCACUCACACUCACACACUCAUACACAUUCACACAUGCAUCACACACACACGUGCUCACACAAACUCACGCUCACACACACUCAUACACACACACGCACUCACACACACUCUCAUACAUUCACACACAUGCACUCACACGUGCUCACACACAUUCACACACACUCACAUGUGCUCACACACACAUUCACACACAUGCACUCACACUCGCACUCACAUACAUUCAUACACACACACUCAUGCACUCACAGGCACUCACACACACACACUCACAUGCACUCAUGCACUCACACAUUCACACACACACUCAUACACUCACACUUUCACACAGUCACACACUCAUACUCACACGCACUCACACACUCACACACACACACUCAUACUCACACACCCGCACUCACACACUCACACACACAGUCACACACUCACACUCACACACGCACACACACCCCACCCUGAGAUCCCACCUUGCACCCACCAGGAUGGCCAUCACCAAAACAGAGCCAGGCAGAUGCCAAGCAUUGGCAGGAGGUGGCAGUCGUGUCCGACUCUUUGCGACCCCAUGGACCGCAGCCCCCCAGGCUCCUCUGUCCAUGGGAUCCUCCAAGCAAGAAUACUGCAUUGGGUUGCCAUUUCCUCCUCCAGGGGAUCUUCCCAACCCAGGGACGGAACCCGGGCCUCUUGCGUCUCCUGCACUGGCAGGCAGGUUCCUUACCACAGCGCCACCUGGGAAGCCCAUGGAACGAUGCGGUUCCCCGGGAUGGGCCCGAUGACCCACAGGACCCGGGGUUCCACUCUUGGGUCUGCCCAUGGAACGAUGCAGUUCCCGGGAUGGGCCCGAUGA
This 1332-nucleotide long non-coding RNA is filed under the name Bos indicus x Bos taurus (hybrid cattle). Its description in RNAcentral is "lncRNA (ENSBIXG00005009260.1)". Lineage: Eukaryota; Metazoa; Chordata; Mammalia; Artiodactyla; Bovidae. The record is from RNAcentral.